Molecule: ribosomal RNA, 214 nt
Filed under: uncultured bacterium
Lineage: Bacteria
Description: partial 16S ribosomal RNA
Rfam family: Bacterial small subunit ribosomal RNA
Source: RNAcentral
UACGUAGGGUGCAAGCGUUGUCCGGAAUUAUUGGGCGUAAAGAGCUCGUAGGCGGUUUGUUGCGUCGGCUGUGAAAUCCCGAGGCUCAACCUCGGGUCUGCAGUCGAUACGAGCAAACUAGAGUGUUGCAGGGGAGACUGGAAUUCCUGGUGUAGCGGUGAAAUGCGCAGAUAUCAGGAGGAACACCGGUGGGCCGAAGGCGGUUCUCUGGGCA